Molecule: long non-coding RNA, 1189 nt
Organism: Mus musculus (house mouse)
Lineage: Eukaryota; Metazoa; Chordata; Mammalia; Rodentia; Muridae
Product: predicted gene, 32052
Exons: 3
Source: RefSeq, a predicted model, not a curated record
GAACCAAUUCUAAAUGAUGCCUUGUGUCAGACACACUCAAUUACCAGAUCCCAAUAUCUACACAACAAAUAGGGUAGCUGAGAAAUGGAAAACCGGACAGGAAGAUGGCUGUAGGGUUGCCCAGCUAAUCCAAUACAACCAGGAACCCAACAAAGAUCUUCGCGACCCUAGACUCUGGGAUUCUCCCUAAGCCCCAGCCCACGUAGACCAUGACACUAUGUCACAUAAUUGAAGCUAAGGGAUGAUGGGUAGGCACAGUGGAAAAUUUGGCAACAGUAAAAAGUUUCUGAAUACACAACAGCAACAAAGCUAAUUGUGUAACAAUGCUAAGAUGUUUUCUAGCAGUGUUUGCUCUUGUUACUCAGUACAGCUUCUCUGCAGCCUUGAUUGUGACGUCACACGGGGAAGCACAUUGCGCAUGCGUCGCCCCCUAGCCUCACCGCUGCUGCCUUAAACAGUUCAGACCAGACUAGAGUGUUGGACAGUCCUGGUUGUGUGUUGAAUGUUCCUGGUUGCGGUAUUUUAUUGGGCUUAGAAAUUUUUCUGCUCUUAGGAGGAACAUAAAUGAUUUUAAUUACAGUACACAAAGUCUCUCCUGCCUACGCCACCUCUUAGCAGCCAUAGAACUAAAGAGACUACCGGUGCUGUACAGACUGAGUUAAACUGAAUAGCUAUCAAAGAGGAACCCAGGGCCUUGAAGAAACCUCAAGCAAUAAAUGACAACAUCAUCGCAGGGUCCCUCCUCCAAGAUGACUUCAUCCUGUGUUAAGCUGACCAAUCAACCAGCCAGCUCGUGGAUCUACCUUAGUCAAGAAAAGCUAAAGGUCACAAUCGAAUAUACGUGUUCUGGCUAUCUUUCCCUGAAUGGCCUAAUGCAAAGCCUAUGACCAGGCUUUUUAACCAAUGAUUCCUAGAGCUCCAUUACAGGGCAAAUUUGGGGAAACUGAUAUAACCUAAGACCUAAUUCUAUAUGCAGAAACUAAGGCCCAAGGAGAAGAUGAUGCCCAUUAUGAAAUAUCAUCAGGCACCUACCCACCCUGCGCACAAUGAAAGCACAACAGAAACGAUCAGAAAAAUGGAGACGAUGCACCGUGCGCGUUCCUGGUGGGAUUAUGAAUUGGCACAGCCAUUCUGGCACAUAGUUGGUUAAUACAAGUCAUAAUAUUAAAUAUGCUUACUAUUUGAUUCA